RNAcentral lists this ribosomal RNA (450 nucleotides) under uncultured bacterium. Its description in RNAcentral is "partial 16S ribosomal RNA". It matches the Rfam family "Bacterial small subunit ribosomal RNA", at positions 354 to 796 of the family's 1533-position model. The record is from RNAcentral.
GUGGGGAAUAUUGGACAAUGGGCGAAAGCCUGAUCCAGCCAUGCCGCGUGUGUGAAGAAGGUCUUCGGAUUGUAAAGCACUUUAAGUUGGGAGGAAGGGCAUUAACCUAAUACGUUAGUGUUUUGACGUUACCGACAGAAUAAGCACCGGCUAACUUCGUGUCAGCAGCCGCGGUAAUACGAAGGGUGCAAGCGUUAAUCGGAAUUACUGGGCGUAAAGCGCGCGUAGGUGGUUCGUUAAGUUGGAUGUGAAAGCCCCGGGCUCAACCUGGGAACUGCAUCCAAAACUGGCGAGCUAGAGUACGGUAGAGGGUGGUGGAAUUUCCUGUGUAGCGGUGAAAUGCGUAGAUAUAGGAAGGAACACCAGUGGCGAAGGCGACCACCUGGACUGAUACUGACACUGAGGUGCGAAAGCGUGGGGAGCAAACAGGAUUAGAAACCCUGGUAGUCC